UACGUAGGGUGCGAGCGUUGUCCGGAAUUAUUGGGCUUAAAGGGUGCGUAGGCGGCGCUUUAAGUCGGGUGUGAAAUCCUUCGGCUCAACCGAAGAAUUGCGCCCGAUACUGGAGUGCUAGAGGGAGACAGGGGUGAGCGGAACUGAUGGUGGAGCGGUGAAAUGCGUUGAUAUCAUCAGGAACACCGGUGGCGAAAGCGGCUCACUGGGUCUCUUCUGACGCUGAGGCACGAAAGCCAGGGUAGCGAACGGG
This 253-nucleotide ribosomal RNA is filed under the name uncultured bacterium. RNAcentral's name for it is "partial 16S ribosomal RNA". It matches the Rfam family "Bacterial small subunit ribosomal RNA", at positions 524 to 776 of the family's 1533-position model. The record is from RNAcentral.